This is a non-coding RNA of Microcebus murinus (gray mouse lemur), 525 nucleotides long. The record is from RefSeq and is a predicted model, not a curated record. NCBI's taxonomy places the organism in Eukaryota, Metazoa, Chordata, Mammalia, Primates, Cheirogaleidae.
UAAGCCGUAGCCAUAAAACAUUAGAACCAUUUUAUUAAUACUUCAACCUGGUGGAAGAAGCCCCGCCCCGCUGCACACACCACGCAAUCGCGUGGAGACAAACCGGAAGUCUCAGGAUCCACCAGGCGGAAGUAGAGACUGACCCGGAUAUGGCACGAGGGAGGCGUCUAGACCCCGCCCUGUAGAACGCCCAGUUUUCCGAUGACCCGGAAGCAGUCCUUUCUUGCCAGAGUGAGUGCUGGUGUUUCUGAAUCACAACCGGGUUCUCUUGCCCCCAUCGCCUUGUCUUCUGCCCCUGGGUCCGUGAUUGGCCUCGGAGGCCACAAUCCCUACAGCCACCCGCAGAACUCUUGGGUCGUCUUCAGAGGCAGUCAGGAGUCCUCACAGGGAGCUUCUCCUCGGGAUGGAUCCACAAUUUUUCAGUGCUUGAAUUUUGGAAGUUCUAAUGGAAGUGCAGCACGGUAUCUUCUCCUUUGAGGAAAGUGGAUAGAAAUAAUAAGAAAAAUACAAGUUCGGAAUACAAAA